This is a non-coding RNA of Danio rerio (zebrafish), 679 nucleotides long. The record is from Ensembl. NCBI's taxonomy places the organism in Eukaryota, Metazoa, Chordata, Actinopteri, Cypriniformes, Danionidae.
CGCUCGUGUUGAGUUUUGUUUGUAUUCAGGCAUCUCGACUGGAAGAUAACGGGGAGACUGCCAGUUAGUAUACACAUUGUGGAGACCUGUGAGUGUACAUAAUGCAGCCCCCUCCUCGAACAACUCCUCCUGGAGCAAGUGGACCUCCACCUCCUUCUGGAGGCCCCAAUUCAUUCAGAAGAAACAGACCCCAUAAACAUGGGGCGGCGUCUGCUAUGACACCGGCUGCCCCUUCCACAAUGCCAGUGACUGAUCCUUUUGCCUUUGGGAGACAAAAUUUUUCAUCUAUGGCAGGGAGCAGCCAAGCUCCACCCACAAACAGCAACCCACUUCCUAUGCAAAGUCCUCCCCUGCCAGGGUUCAACCCAACAGCUCCACCACAAGGGCCACCACCAGGACCCGCACAGGCAGCCUCACCUGGCCCACCACCAAGAAUUUUUACACCACAGCCCGUUCCAUCACGGCCUGGAUCAAGCUCUAUCCCUCCUCCUGCAGAAGCAGGAUACUUCAGUUCCCAAGAACCAAUCCCCUAUAUUGCACAAUUGCCUAACCCUGCUCCUCCUUUAAUUCCUAGUACAUCACAUCCUCCCUCCACUACCCCAACACCUCCAGUUCAGUCCCAGGCUCCUUUUCAUUCCCAGCCAACCCCUCCCUUACCUUCACACUGGGUGCCUGAACA